GGAGAGUUUUGAUCUCUUAAUCAUAGGUUCAAUUCCUAU
RNAcentral lists this transfer RNA (39 nucleotides) under Osteopilus dominicensis (Dominican treefrog). RNAcentral describes it as "partial tRNA-Gln". Lineage: Eukaryota; Metazoa; Chordata; Amphibia; Anura; Hylidae. The record is from RNAcentral.